This 325-nucleotide ribosomal RNA is filed under the name Aphaenops crypticola. Its description in RNAcentral is "partial 16S ribosomal RNA". Lineage: Eukaryota; Metazoa; Arthropoda; Insecta; Coleoptera; Carabidae. RNAcentral also lists the same sequence under 1 other name. The record is from RNAcentral.
UUAAAUGGCUGCAGUAAUUUGACUGUACAAAGGUAGCAUAAUCAUUAGUUUUUUAAUUAAAAGCUUGAAUGAAAGGUUGGACGAAGUAAAAUCUGUCUCUUUUAAAUAAAAUUAGAAUUUAAUUUUUAAGUUAAAAAGCUUAAAUUUUUAUAAAAGACGAGAAGACCCUAUAGAGUUUAAUAAUUUUUUGGGAAUAAUUAAUUUAGUUUUAUUAAUUUUAUUUUCUAUAAAUUAUUUUAUUGGGGUAAUAAUAAGAUUUAAAUAAUUCUUUUUUUUUUACCAUUAAUUUAUGAAAUGUAUGAUCCAUUAUUUUUAUGAUUAUAAG